Molecule: ribosomal RNA, 440 nt
Filed under: uncultured bacterium
Lineage: Bacteria
Description: partial 16S ribosomal RNA
Rfam family: Bacterial small subunit ribosomal RNA
Source: RNAcentral
CCUACGGGCGGCAGCAGUGGGGAAUAUUGCACAAUGGAGGGAACUCUGAUGCAGCGACGCCGCGUGAGUGAAGAAGUAUUUCGUUAUGUAAAGUUCUAUCAGCAGGGAAGAAAGUGACGGUAUCUGAAAAAGAAGCUCCGGCUAAAUCCGUGCCAGCAGCCGCGGUAAUACGUAUGGAGCAAGCGUUAACCGGAUUUACUGGGUGUAAAGGGAGAGUAGGUGGCAGAGCAAGUCCGAAGUGAAAUCCCAAAGCUCAACCAUGGAAAUGCAUUCGAAACUGGUAAGCUAGAGUGAAGGAGAGGGAGGUGGAAUUCUUGGUGUAGCGGUGAAAUGCGUAGAUAUUAGGAGGAACACCAGUGGCGAAGGCGGCUUGCUGGACUAUAACUGACGCUGAGGCGCGAAAGCGUGGGGAGCAAACAGGAUUAGAUACCCCAGUAGUC